RNAcentral lists this ribosomal RNA (412 nucleotides) under uncultured bacterium. RNAcentral's name for it is "bacterial SSU rRNA". It matches the Rfam family "Bacterial small subunit ribosomal RNA", at positions 30 to 440 of the family's 1533-position model. The record is from RNAcentral.
AUUGAACGCUGGCGGCGUGCUUAACACAUGUAAGUCGUGCGGUAACAGGCGUAGCAAUACGUGCUGACGAGCGGCGAACGGGUGCGUAAUACAUGGGAAUCUGCCCUUUAGUGGGGAAUAACCCGGCGAAAGCCGGGCUAAUGCCGCAUAAGAUCUUCGGAUGAAAGCGGGGGAUCGUAAGACCUCGCGCUGGUGGAUGAGCCCAUGUCGGAUUAGCUAGUUGGNGAGGCAACGGCUCACCAAGGCGACGAUCCGUAGCUGGUCUGAGAGGACGGCCAGCCACACUGGGACUGAGACACGGCCCAGACUCCUACGGGAGGCAGCAGUGGGGAAUAUUGGACAAUGGGCGAAAGCCUGAUCCAGCGACGCCGCGUGUGUGAAGAAGGCCUGCGGGUUGUAAAGCACUUUCGAU